RNAcentral lists this transfer RNA (67 nucleotides) under Oreotragus oreotragus (klipspringer). Its description in RNAcentral is "tRNA-Tyr". It matches the Rfam family "tRNA". From Rfam's summary of the family: Transfer RNA (tRNA) molecules are approximately 80 nucleotides in length. The record is from RNAcentral. Lineage: Eukaryota; Metazoa; Chordata; Mammalia; Artiodactyla; Bovidae.
GGUAAAAUGGCUGAGUAAGCAUUAGACUGUAAAUCUAAGGACAGAGGUGAGAUUCCUCUUUUUAUCA